UCGAGUUAAGCAACCUCUAACAAGAAUCAUGAAGCUUCUAUAAAGAAUCUUGAGGUGCAAAUGGGUCAGCUGUCAAGACAGUUUUCUAUGUUGCAAAACCAAGGAGGUUUCGGUGGAAACACUCACGACAAUCCGAAAAAUGAAACUUGCAAUGGAAUCACUUUGAGGAGUAGAGAGAUACCGGAAAGGCCAGCGGUGGAGAAACCCUUGAAAAAGAAGGUCAUUGCGGGAGAAGUUGAAAAUAGGCAAGAAGUUGUAGUUGAAAAUGAGAGAUAUGAGGGAGAAGUAGAAAAGGAAAAUGUGCCUAAAGAAGUUGAG
RNAcentral lists this long non-coding RNA (318 nucleotides) under Trifolium pratense (red clover). RNAcentral describes it as "long non-coding RNA (TPRA_LNC005773)". Lineage: Eukaryota; Viridiplantae; Streptophyta; Magnoliopsida; Fabales; Fabaceae. The record is from RNAcentral.